This 321-nucleotide ribosomal RNA is filed under the name uncultured eukaryote. RNAcentral's name for it is "partial 18S ribosomal RNA". It matches the Rfam family "Eukaryotic small subunit ribosomal RNA", at positions 1470 to 1796 of the family's 1831-position model. The record is from RNAcentral.
CCCUUAGAUGUCCUGGGCCGCACGCGCGCUACACUGACAUGUUCAACAAGCCUCCUAGUUCGACAGGAUUUGGGAAAUCUUUGAACGCAUGUCGUGAUAGGGAUAGAUCAUUGCAAUUAUUGAUCUUGAACGAGGAAUUCCUAGUAAACGCGAGUCAUCAGCUCGCAUUGAUUACGUCCCUGCCCUUUGUACACACCGCCCGUCGCACCUACCGAUUGAAUGUUUCGGUGAAGACUCCGGAUAGGACUUUUUUGAUUUAUUUCAAUUUUGUCUUAAAAGCUAUCUAAACCUCAACAUUUAGAGGAAGGUGAAGUCGUAACA